Molecule: long non-coding RNA, 1183 nt
Filed under: Bos taurus (domestic cattle)
Lineage: Eukaryota; Metazoa; Chordata; Mammalia; Artiodactyla; Bovidae
Description: long non-coding RNA NONBTAT006236
Source: RNAcentral
CACAGUUAAAGUCCUGCAGAAAAAGAACUAAGCAGUUAGUUCUAUCUAUAAUGUGCAUGGAUGAACUAGAAAUAAACUGUGAUGGAAAGGAAUUCACUGUUUAUUUACAAAUCUAGUUGUCUAAAAAUGUCCGAAAGUAAUACUACAUUUGGAUUUUUAUAGAAACAAAGCACAAAUUGAUUCAAGCUCUGAAUUGAGUUUUUUGCUUGGAGAAGUUACUGUGGUAGAUGUUCAUUUAGCUGCCAGAAGAACUACUUAAAUUUUUAAAUUUGUAUUUAUUUGUUAAUUCUUGGCAGUGACAGCAACUGUAAUUUUAAAAUAGUUUUGCUUUAGUCAAAAUGUAGAAUCUGUUACUCCUAUAUUUGGGCUGACUACUCAGACCCUUUUUUUUUUCUUUUAAAGUUUAUGCUGAGAUAUUACACUCUUAUUUAUGGGCAAGUUAGUAAACAUUUCCAAAUUGUGUUUGGUGAUUUUUACAUACUAAUGAAUAUAAGCAGAUGGUUUGAAACAUUACUGUGCUUCUUUGGUCAAACGAGCUUGAUGUUGAUAAGAAAUACUGUGUUGCUGACAAGCUGCAACCUGCAGCUGUGCAGUGAACAGACUGUGGGAAAUGGCUCCAUGCCCUGACAGGUGCCCAGCACAUCCUCAUAAUGUCACAGUAGAAGAGUCUUUGUGGUUAAGAGUUUUAAAGCCUAUUUCUUUAUAGGUAACUUUCUCAGGUGUAUUUACCUGCUAGAAAAACAUGUAGGAUUGUUUCUAUUUCUUAAAUGUUUUAAUUGGACCAUAGUUUAGAAAUGAUAGGGCCAGCUUGUUACGGAUUCCAUACUAUUGUGUUAUUUUUAUUUCUGGAACUUAAAAACAAUAAAUUCUUUCUCUGUGUCUCAAGGUUAGUACUUUUAAAAUUUUGUUAUUGUACACUGAAUAGAUAUUAUUGCUUAUUGAAUAUUGUAUAAACUCUUCUCUGGCCUUCUGUGCCCAUUGACAUUUGAUUUAAGCCUACCAGAGCCAUUGUAUGUGACAGCUAUAUUGUAUUAAAAGUAAAAAAUAUAUUAGUGUACUGAAAACUAUGUUGUUUUAACUUUAAAUUUUUUUUCAUUACCCACUCUUUAACUGAAAUUUGAGUGACAAAAAGCUUAUUUGCUCACCAGAAUGCAAGUAUUAAGCACAUCCUUUCCCUUAAGUC